This 77-nucleotide transfer RNA is filed under the name Baudoinia panamericana UAMH 10762. Its description in RNAcentral is "tRNA-iMet (CAT) (tRNA-iMet-CAT-1-1)". It matches the Rfam family "tRNA". From Rfam's summary of the family: Transfer RNA (tRNA) molecules are approximately 80 nucleotides in length. Their secondary structure includes four short double-helical elements and three loops (D, anti-codon, and T loops). Further hydrogen bonds mediate the characteristic L-shaped molecular structure. tRNAs have two regions of fundamental functional importance: the anti-codon, which is responsible for specific mRNA codon recognition, and the 3' end, to which the tRNAs corresponding amino acid is attached (by aminoacyl-tRNA synthetases). tRNAs cope with the degeneracy of the genetic code in two manners: having more than one tRNA (with a specific anti-codon) for a particular amino acid; and 'wobble' base-pairing, i.e. permitting non-standard base-pairing at the 3rd anti-codon position. Lineage: Eukaryota; Fungi; Ascomycota; Dothideomycetes; Mycosphaerellales; Teratosphaeriaceae. The record is from RNAcentral.
GAAAUAUUAGUGGCGCAGCGGAAGCGCGCCGGGCUCAUAACCCGGAGGUCAAUGGAUCGAAACCAUUCUCAGCUACA